CCGCGCCCCGCCCCCGCCCGCUCUUUCUCCUCGGAUUCUCUCAGGCUAAACUCCGCCCCUUUCCUCCUUUCCUUCCCUUCUAUUCCCCACUCUCUUCUACUCUCCCCUUCUCGGUUUGUCCUAGGCCCAAACCCCGCGCGGGCCCCGCCCCCAUCCGGGUCUGACUGGAUUACGCUGGGUCUCUACUUUUAGCGGGCUAAAAGCACUAGCUCUGACUCCUGACCAAGAAGCCCCGCGGGUCGCGCUACCCCCUGGGAUUUGUAGUCCUCUGGUGCCCCCAUCCUUUCCCCCAAGCUGUAGCUUUGGAGCCGCCGCUCUGGGGAGCUCUGGGCUCUGUAGACCCUGUCCGUCCCCCGAGAAGUGAAGCGGCCCCGGAGUGUCCGAGGCGGGAUCGGCCCUUUGGGCUCCUUGGCCCCAAUCUUUCCGUGCCUCAUCUGUAGAAUGGGGCCAAGUGGCCAACGCUCCCCGCAGCACCGCCGUGACCCGGCUGCGGUGGGGUUCCGGGGCCGUGACGCGCGCACGGGGCUAGCUGAAGCACCUACUCCGGCUAAGCCUUGGCCGAGAUGCUCGCGCUUGACCCUCGCGCCGGCCCGGGGAGAACAUGCUUUAGCUAUAUUCGACCUUGCCGAGGAAAACCUGGAUCCUGACGUGAGCCAGGCCCACAGAAGUGACAAAUGGGCACCCUCUACCCCUCUCCCGGCCUUGAACGAAGAUCUGUAGCACUUCCCAGUAGGACUGGAACCAGAUUAAAAUGUAACUGGGAAGUACUUAACAAUACCAUUAAAAAUACUGAGGAGGACAGAUAUCAUUAACAUGUGGUUUUCU
Sarcophilus harrisii (Tasmanian devil) is the source of this 825-nucleotide long non-coding RNA. RefSeq lists it as uncharacterized. The transcript is spliced from 3 exons. NCBI's taxonomy places the organism in Eukaryota, Metazoa, Chordata, Mammalia, Dasyuromorphia, Dasyuridae. The record is from RefSeq and is a predicted model, not a curated record.